GGGGCCGCAUUUCCCCGAGCAGGGCCGCGCACAAAGGCCCUAGGCCCGGGCCGCACUCACCGAAGUCCAGGAACUGCUUCAUAGAGAGCGGGGACGGCGAGAAGCGCGCGUAGAAGUCCACCUGGCCCGGAACGCCGCUUUCGGGCGCCGGCCCGGAGGCCGAGUCCGAGGUGAAGCUGCGGCUGGCGCCGGGGCUGGCCGCGCGCAGCCCGGAGCCCGGGCCGGCCGAGGCGGCUCCGCGAAGCAGCCGCGCCAGCCUCAUGCCGAGCCCCGCCGGAGGAGCCGGAGCUGGGGUAGCCAGGUCGCCGCUCAGCGCCUCGGCCGGGCGGUACGUGAGGGACGUGGCGACCCUCGGGGGCGGGGAGCGGCUGUCACCGCCGCGGCCACCGCCCCCGUCGCCGGAGCCCGGCCCCCUGCGCCGCGGGGCGGGACCCAGAGAGGGAGGCGGGGAGAGAGGCGGGAGCGGGAGUGGGGUCCGCCCCCGUGCUAAAGUCCAGCCUCCGUGCGCCGGGGCGGUGCCGGCGAGCGGUGGGGCGGGGAGGGCGUGCGCAGGUCUGCCGGCGGGAAGCCGUGGGUGCGGGAGGAGCCUAGGCUUCUUCAGUCCCCGGCCCGCCCUGCAGCGAGGAAGCCCGUAGGUGGCCGUGGCGCCCGGGCACCUAAGGCGCCCUCGCAUACUGGUGCGCCCCCUUCCCGCGCUCUCUCGGAGCACACCCCACCUUCCUGCUAUCUGUGCCUCCCCAGCCUCAGCCAAAAGGCUGAAGGACUGGGCCGCGCUUCGCUUCCCACACCUGUGUGCUGGCUGUCCGAGCGCUUUCCAGAAACUCUCCUCUGUGAUGCAAACCCCACAUUUUACAGGUGAAGGAGCCAAGACCCAGAGAGCUUCAGGAUCUGACCCUUGCCAAGCAGUGGUACAAAAAUACGAAUGAACAAGGGGGAAUGUGGCCCUAAAUGUUGUCAGCGACUGCAGACCCAGAAGAUGA
RNAcentral lists this long non-coding RNA (980 nucleotides) under Lynx pardinus (Iberian lynx). Lineage: Eukaryota; Metazoa; Chordata; Mammalia; Carnivora; Felidae. The record is from RNAcentral.